RNAcentral lists this ribosomal RNA (766 nucleotides) under uncultured bacterium. RNAcentral's name for it is "bacterial SSU rRNA". It matches the Rfam family "Bacterial small subunit ribosomal RNA", at positions 1 to 785 of the family's 1533-position model. The record is from RNAcentral.
AUUCGGCUUAGAGUUUGAUCCUGGCUCAGGAUGAACGCUGGCGGCGUGCUUAACACAUGCAAGUCGAACGAACGUAGCAAUACGUUAGUGGCGGACGGGUGAGUAACGCGUGAGCAAUCUGCCCAUAUCUGGGGGAUAACAGUUAGAAAUGACUGCUAAUACCGCAUAUGACCACGGAAAGGCAUCUUUCUGGGGUGAAAGAUUUAUCGGAUAUGGAUGAGCUCGCGUCCCAUUAGGCAGUUGGCGGGGUAACGGCCCACCAAACCGACGAUGGGUAGCCGGCCUUAGAGGGUGAUCGGCCACAUUGGAACUGAGACACGGUCCAAACUCCUACGGGAGGCAGCAGUGGGGAAUAUUGGGCAAUGGAGGCAACUCUGACCCAGCAACGCCGCGUGAGUGAUGAAGGUCUUCGGAUUGUAAAACUCUUUAAGUGGGGACGAAGAAAGUGACUGUACCCACAGAAUAAGCCUCGGCUAACUACGUGCCAGCAGCCGCGGUAAUACGUAGGAGGCAAGCGUUAUCCGGAAUGACUGGGCGUAAAGGGUGCGUAGGUGGUUUGGUAAGUUAGUAGCGUAAUUCCGGGGCUCAACUUCGGAACUACUACUAAAACUGCUGGGCUUGAGUGCAGGAGGGGCAUAUGGAAUUCCUAGUGUAGCGGUGGAACGCGUAGAUAUUAGGAAGAACACCAGCGGCGAAGGCGAUAUGCUGGACUGUAACUGACACUGAGGCACGAAAGCGUGGGGAGCAAACAGGAUUAAGCCGAAUU